AGAGUUUGAUCCUGGCUCAGGACGAACGCUGGCGGCGUGCUUAACACAUGCAAGUCGAACGCUGAACCCGCUUCGGUGGGGGAUGAGUGGCGAACGGGUGAGUAACACGUGGGCAACCUGCCCCCGGCUCUGGGAUAACUCCAAGAAAUUGGGGCUAAUACCGGAUAUCCACCGCUGGCCGCAUGGUGUGGUGGUGGAAAGGGUUUCCGGCUGGGGAUGGGCCCGCGGCCUAUCAGCUUGUUGGUGGGGUAGUGGCCUACCAAGGCGACGACGGGUAGCCGGCCUGAGAGGGUGACCGGCCACACUGGGACUGAGACACGGCCCAGACUCCUACGGGAGGCAGCAGUGGGGAAUAUUGCGCAAUGGGCGGAAGCCUGACGCAGCGACGCCGCGUGGGGGAUGACGGCCUUCGGGUUGUAAACCUCUUUCAGCAGGGACGAAGCGCAAGUGACGGUACCUGCAGAAGAAGCACCGGCCAACUACGUGCCAGCAGCCGCGGUAAUACGUAGGGUGCAAGCGUUGUCCGGAAUUAUUGGGCGUAAAGAGCUCGUAGGCGGUUGGUCGCGUCGGCUGUGAAAACCCGGAGCUCAACUCCGGGCCUGCAGUCGAUACGGGCCGACUUGAGUGUUGCAGGGGAGACUGGAAUUCCUGGUGUAGCGGUGAAAUGCGCGAUAUCAGGAGGAACACCGGUGGCGAAGGCGGGUCUCUGGGCAACAACUGACGCUGAGGAGCGAAAGCGUGGGGAGCGAACAGGAUUAGAUACCCUAGUAGUCC
This 774-nucleotide ribosomal RNA is filed under the name uncultured bacterium. RNAcentral describes it as "bacterial SSU rRNA". It matches the Rfam family "Bacterial small subunit ribosomal RNA", at positions 8 to 796 of the family's 1533-position model. The record is from RNAcentral.